This 274-nucleotide ribosomal RNA is filed under the name uncultured Glomus. RNAcentral describes it as "partial 18S ribosomal RNA". It matches the Rfam family "Eukaryotic small subunit ribosomal RNA", at positions 624 to 909 of the family's 1831-position model. Lineage: Eukaryota; Fungi; Glomeromycota; Glomeromycetes; Glomerales; Glomeraceae. The record is from RNAcentral.
AAGCUCGUAGUUGAAUUUCGGGAUUAGUACGUCGGUCGUGCCUUAGGUACGUACUGGUGUUACUGGUUCCUACCUUCUGACGAACCAUCAUGUCAUUAAUUUGGUGUGGUGGGGAAUCAUGACAGUUACUUUGAAAAAAUUAGAGUGUUUAAAGCAGGCUCGCGCUUGAAUACAUUAGCAUGGAAUAAUGAAAUAGGACGUUGAUCCUAUUUUGUUGGUUUCUAGGAUUGACGUAAUGAUUAAUAGGGAUAGUUGGGCGAGCGGGCUGGCAAGG